This 106-nucleotide ribosomal RNA is filed under the name Zhenpiania hominis. Its description in RNAcentral is "partial 16S ribosomal RNA". The record is from RNAcentral. Lineage: Bacteria; Bacillati; Bacillota; Clostridia; Peptostreptococcales; Anaerovoracaceae.
AAAAAGAGUUUGAUCCUGGCUCAGGAUGAACGCUGGCGGCGUGCCUAACACAUGCAAGUCGAGCGAGAAGCUUUUAACGGACGCUUCGGUUGAAGUUAAGAGUGGA